UGUGUCCAUAUUGUAUUCUUCGACACAGAAUCGUUUGAAGAAGUUUCUUGUGCAAGUGAUUGGCAUCGUUCUUGUGUUGUGGUUCAACAAAGGGGAAGGUUUUAACUGUUUUGCGCUUAGUGCACCAUUAAUGCCUGCAAAAACCCAACAAGAAGGCUCAAGAAAAUGAUUAAGAGGGUGAAAUAAGAGAAGCUGAGUUUCACGUUUGGAAGUAAAGAUAUGAAAUUUAGAGAGAGAGGAAGAAGAAGAUGAAGAAGGACGCAAUGUGGUAAUGGGACUUGAUGAGAUUGUGACUCUGGAAUCCUGAAAUGGACCAGGUAAGAGAAAAAAAAGAAAAGAUGGUCAGAAUAGAAUUUUAAAGGGCCAAAAGGUAUAAAGAAGAUAAGUAAAAAUUCUAGUAUUCGUUAAGUAUCUAACAAAAAUACUUUACGGUAUGCAUUUUCAAAAUCAAAACUCUUUGGUAAAACCAAAAUGUAUUGGGCGAUUCAGCUACUAGAAAAAAACAAUUUUUUAGAUU
This is a long non-coding RNA of Capsella rubella, 517 nucleotides long. RefSeq lists it as uncharacterized. NCBI's taxonomy places the organism in Eukaryota, Viridiplantae, Streptophyta, Magnoliopsida, Brassicales, Brassicaceae. The record is from RefSeq and is a predicted model, not a curated record. The transcript is spliced from 4 exons.